GAGUAAAAGUCGUAACAAGGUUUCCGUAGGUGAACCUGCGGAAGGAUCAUUAUUGUAUAACCGAGGUGCGAGGGCUGUCGCUGACCCGAAAGGUCGUGCACGCCCGAGUGCCCUCACACACAUCCAUCUCACCCCUAUGUGCACCACCGCGUGGGUCCCCCUUUGGCUUGUUCGGAGGGGGGCUUACGUUUUCACACGAACUUUGUAUGCAGUGUAGAAUGUAUUUUUUGUUUUUGCGAUCACGCAAUCAAUACAACUUUCAACAACGGAUCUCUUGGCUCUC
This 283-nucleotide unclassified non-coding RNA is filed under the name plant metagenome. Its description in RNAcentral is "partial contains small subunit ribosomal RNA, internal transcribed spacer 1, and 5.8S ribosomal RNA". The stretch from base 1 to 52 matches the Rfam family "Eukaryotic small subunit ribosomal RNA", at positions 1780 to 1831 of the family's 1831-position model. The record is from RNAcentral.